This 752-nucleotide non-coding RNA is filed under the name Pongo abelii (Sumatran orangutan). The record is from RNAcentral. Lineage: Eukaryota; Metazoa; Chordata; Mammalia; Primates; Hominidae.
CGGGCGCAGCCAAGAGGCUCCGCUGCGCGGGAUAAAAGAUUCUCCCAGGGGGCAUCUCCCUGUCUUUGGCCAGAUGGUCUCGACACGUGCGGGCACCUCUAACCCAGAGGCUGGAGCGCAGUGGUGCUACCACAGCUCACUGCAGCCUUGACCUCCCAGGCUCAAGCAAUCCUCCACCUCAGCCUUGCAAGCAGAUGGGACUAUAGGACAGUGGCAUACUAUCACAUCUAUCAAAGAAAACAUGAAAAGUGCCUGAAAUGUGCUACUGAUAAACCAAUAGCAGUGAAAACUCAUAUAUGGUACACAUUCCAUUUGGAUCACAAAAGCAAAGCCAAACAUCUCGGUAAGUGGGAGGAAGUAACUGAUGAACUGACUAAAGGAAAAACAGAGACUCUGGACUUGGUCAUGUGACUUACUUCAGUCAAUGGGACAUUAGCAAGAAUGAUAAAGCAGAAGUAUGAUAAGAAUUUGUACAUUUUGGCUUAUCAUCUUAAAAUAUUCUUGGAAGCCAGAUGCAAUAAGAAGCCCAGCCACCCUAAGACCACUAUAUGUGAGGAAACCCAAGCUAGUCAUGUGGAAAAAACAUGUAGACAGAGGGAUGCCUGGCUAGUCUCCAGCUUAGUCAUGGGAGUGAAGAAGCCACUUUGGAUGUUCCAGCCCUGGAAGAUACUUCCUGGAACAGAAGAAACACCUUGCUGAGCCCAGCACACACUGCAGAAUCAUGAGAAAUAAUAGUUGGUUUAAGCCACUAC